This 1208-nucleotide long non-coding RNA is filed under the name Chloebia gouldiae (Gouldian finch). RNAcentral describes it as "Erythrura gouldiae (Gouldian finch) lncRNA (ENSEGOG00005008190.1)". Lineage: Eukaryota; Metazoa; Chordata; Aves; Passeriformes; Passeridae. The record is from RNAcentral.
ACCUCUUAGAUUCAGGUAUAAAAAUCUGUGUUUGCCCAUCCUGAGGGGUCUUGGGGGCUUCUGGAAUAAAACAACCCUGUUCCCCCCCCAAGUCCCAUGUCUCCUCCGUCUGUCCCCGCGUCUGAACUGAGACUGCAGAGCAGCCAAAAGGGGGAACGUCUGACUCUCCUCCUCCUCUCCUGUCACUAAAUCUCGCCGCUGCUCGGGGGAGAAAAGCAGAUGGCACGCACCACAACAGAUGGUAGCAGAGAAUGGUUUCGUUUUUCAUUUUGUGAUUCGUGGUGGCGCCCGCCUCACAGAAGAGGAAGGAGGAAAGAGAAACACCCGCAGCCGCGAAAGCUCUGCACGACGCUAAGAGGAACCCAGAGCUGAGCAGAAAAAAACUGAGGUUCCCAGACCCUCUUCUCAUCUGUGCUCUCUAUCCCGGCUGGAGACAGCCACGCUGCGGGGCAGCCGUGCUGCAGUGGGCCUUAAGGGGGGUAGACUUACCCCAGGACAGAGAGAGAGGUUUUGGCAGUGCUCGAUGGACUGAGCCCGAAGAAUGGCGCGUCAGAGCUUGCCGCUGACAGCACUUGCUUGAGUCACCAGAGACUAAUAGUUGCUGAAUCCAAGGCUUCAGGGACAAGCCUUGGUUAACGGGAACACCUAGGUCUCUGGAAGAGCCAAACCGUGAAAGACAACGUUCCCAGUUCAGCGCAAUUUUUCCAUCACCCGAGGACAACGAACGAGCCACAACCACCCCCGCCUGGAGGAAAAAAAGAUCAUCCUAUUUGAUUAUUGUUCAUAAUGCUGUGCCCACUUCGCAAUCAAACAAUCAAAUCAGAGAAGCCACAUCGCUGCUUGCUUCUCCAGCUCUGCAAGAACUUAAACACCACAAGCGUUGUAAAAGAUCAAGCCAUGAAUCCUGCUUGUACCUCUAAUCUGGAAGAAUUUGUUUAAGACAAUUUUAUAUGUUUUGUUUUAAGUUUUAAAGUGAAGAAAAAUUUUACCCCAUAUAUUGUAAUUAAGAUUGAGUUAUCCUUGUCUGUUGUUUUUCAAUUUAUGAUCUUUUAAUAAUCUGUAAUAUUACUAUAUGACUUUUAUGUUUUAUUAAUUUGUUUAAACCUCAUAACUCUCUUUAUUUUUGAACAAAAGGAUUGAGAUGUUGAGGCAGGAUUUUUCUCUUUAUUAAUGUCUGUUUAAUGCCUGCUCAUUACCCUCCAACCCCC